This 490-nucleotide ribosomal RNA is filed under the name uncultured bacterium. Its description in RNAcentral is "bacterial SSU rRNA". It matches the Rfam family "Bacterial small subunit ribosomal RNA", at positions 28 to 507 of the family's 1533-position model. The record is from RNAcentral.
GAUGAACGCUAGCUACAGGCUUAACACAUGCAAGUCGCGGGCAGCAUUUCCUUAGCUUGCUAAGGAAGAUGGCGACCGGCGCACGGGUGAGUAACGCGUAUCCAACCUUCCCAUGUCCACGGGAUAGCCCGUCGAAAGGCGGAUUAAUACCGUAUGAGGUCACAUGCGGGCAUCUAAGUGUGACGAAAGGUUUUGCGGACAUGGAUGGGGAUGCGUCCGAUUAGCUGGUUGGCGGGGUAACGGCCCACCAAGGCGACGAUCGGUAGGGGUUCUGAGAGGAAGGUCCCCCCANAUUGGAACUGAGACACGGUCCAAACUCCUACGGGAGGCAGCAGUGAGGAAUAUUGGUCAAUGGACGUAAGUCUGAACCAGCCAAGUAGCGUGCAGGAUGACGGCCCUAUGGGUUGUAAACUGCUUUUAUAGGGGGAUAAAGUGUGCCACGUGUGGCAUAUUGCAGGUACCCUAUGAAUAAGGACCGGCUAAUUCCGUG